Molecule: transfer RNA, 64 nt
Filed under: Anadara antiquata
Lineage: Eukaryota; Metazoa; Mollusca; Bivalvia; Arcoida; Arcidae
Description: tRNA-Ser
Source: RNAcentral
GGUCCCUUAAUAAUGUAUUCCUGUUUUGAAGGCGGGGUGAGGGCAUAAAGUUGUCCGGGGGCUU